This 204-nucleotide long non-coding RNA is filed under the name Carica papaya (papaya). RNAcentral's name for it is "long non-coding RNA (CPAP_LNC001275)". Lineage: Eukaryota; Viridiplantae; Streptophyta; Magnoliopsida; Brassicales; Caricaceae. The record is from RNAcentral.
AGUAAUAACAGCAGUAAAAGUAGUAGUAAUAGUAGUAGCAGUAGUAUUAGUAGUAGUAGUACUAGUACCUACGAAUACUCAUGUACUUGAAGGCUUUUAGCAUCAACAAUAAAUCAAAACUUGAGUUUCUCAACUAGUCUCUCUUAUUUCUUCCUCUCAUAUUUCAACAAAUUAUUACAUUGAGCUUGCCUAUCUCUUCAUUUU